Molecule: ribosomal RNA, 450 nt
Filed under: uncultured Parvibaculum sp.
Lineage: Bacteria; Pseudomonadati; Pseudomonadota; Alphaproteobacteria; Hyphomicrobiales; Parvibaculaceae
Description: bacterial SSU rRNA
Rfam family: Bacterial small subunit ribosomal RNA
Source: RNAcentral
AGAGUUUGAUCCUGGCUCAGAACGAACGCUGGCGGCAGGCUUAACACAUGCAAGUCGAACGGCUGUAGCAAUACAGCAGUGGCAGACGGGUGAGUAACACGUGGGAACCUUCCUAGGGGUACGGAACAACUCAGGGAAACUUGAGCUAAUACCGUAUACGUCCGUGAGGAGAAAGAUUUAUCGCCCUUAGACGGGCCCGCGUCGGAUUAGGUAGUUGGUGGGGUAACGGCCUACCAAGCCUACGAUCCGUAGCUGAUCUGAGAGGAUGAUCAGCCACACUGGGACUGAGACACGGCCCAGACUCCUACGGGAGGCAGCAGUGGGGAAUCUUGGACAAUGGGCGCAAGCCUGAUCCAGCCAUGCCGCGUGAGUGAAGAAGGCCUUAGGGUUGUAAAGCUCUUUUACCAGGGACGAUAAUGACGGUACCUGAGAAUAGCCCUGGUAUCGCCU